This 252-nucleotide ribosomal RNA is filed under the name uncultured bacterium. Its description in RNAcentral is "partial 16S ribosomal RNA". It matches the Rfam family "Bacterial small subunit ribosomal RNA", at positions 524 to 776 of the family's 1533-position model. The record is from RNAcentral.
UACGGAGGAUGCGAGCGUUAUCCGGAUUUAUUGGGUUUAAAGGGUGCGUAGGCGGAUUUUUAAGUCAGCGGUAAAAUGUCCGGGCUCAACCCGGGCCGGCCGUUGAAACUGGGGAUCUUGAGUGGGCGAGAAGUAUGCGGAAUGCGUGGUGUAGCGGUGAAAUGCAUAGAUAUCACGCAGGACUCCGAUUGCGAAGGCAGCAUACCGGCGCCCGACUGACGCUGAGGCACGAAAGCGUGGGGAUCGAACAGG